This 261-nucleotide ribosomal RNA is filed under the name uncultured archaeon. Its description in RNAcentral is "partial 16S ribosomal RNA". It matches the Rfam family "Archaeal small subunit ribosomal RNA", at positions 748 to 1008 of the family's 1478-position model. The record is from RNAcentral.
AGGGUGUAAACGCUGCGGGCUUGGUGUUGGGGGUCCUUAGUGGGCGCCCAGUGCCGGAGAGAAGUUGUUAAGCCUGCUGCUUGGGGAGUAUGUCCGCAAGGAUGAAACUUAAAGGAAUUGGCGGGGGAGCACCACAACGGGUGGAGCUUGCGGUUUAAUUGGAUUCAACGCCGGAAAUCUUACCGGGACCGACAGCAACAUGAAGGCCAAGCUGAAGACUUUGCCGGAUUAGCUGAGAGGAGGUGCAUGGCGUGUGACUGU